UACAGAGGUGGCAAGCGUUGUUCGGAUUUAUUGGGCGUAAAGGGUCCGUAGGCGGACCGGAAAGUCGGGUGUGAAAUCCUGCGGCUUAACCGCAGAACUGCAUUCGAAACUCCUGGUCUAGAGUGUGAGAGGGGUGAAGGGAAUUCCCGGUGUAAGGGUGAAAUCUGCAGAGAUCGGGAAGAACACCAGUCGCGAAGGCGCUUCACUGGCUCACCACUGACGCUGAGGGACGAAAGCUAGGGGAGCGAACGGG
Molecule: ribosomal RNA, 253 nt
Filed under: uncultured bacterium
Lineage: Bacteria
Description: partial 16S ribosomal RNA
Rfam family: Bacterial small subunit ribosomal RNA
Source: RNAcentral